This 253-nucleotide ribosomal RNA is filed under the name uncultured bacterium. Its description in RNAcentral is "partial 16S ribosomal RNA". It matches the Rfam family "Bacterial small subunit ribosomal RNA", at positions 524 to 776 of the family's 1533-position model. The record is from RNAcentral.
UACGUAGGGGGCAAGCGUUGUCCGGAAUCAUUGGGCGUAAAGAGCGUGUAGGCGGCUCGAUAAGUCUGCUGUGAAAGUCCAGGGCUCAACCCUGGAAGGCCGGUGGAAACUGUCGGGCUAGAGUCCGGAAGAGGCGAGUGGAAUUCCCGGUGUAGCGGUGAGAUGCGCAGAUAUCGGGAGGAACACCAAUGGCGAAGGCAGCUCGCUGGGACGGUACUGACGCUGAGACGCGAAAGCGUGGGGAGCAAACAGG